GCCGGCUUAGCUCAAUUGGUAGAGCAACUGACUUGUAAUCAGUAGGUUGGGGGUUCAAGUCCUCUGGCCGGCACCA
This 76-nucleotide transfer RNA is filed under the name Staphylococcus aureus. RNAcentral's name for it is "tRNA-Thr". It matches the Rfam family "tRNA". Rfam says of the family: Transfer RNA (tRNA) molecules are approximately 80 nucleotides in length. Their secondary structure includes four short double-helical elements and three loops (D, anti-codon, and T loops). Lineage: Bacteria; Bacillati; Bacillota; Bacilli; Caryophanales; Staphylococcaceae. The record is from RNAcentral. RNAcentral also lists the same sequence under 1 other name.